GAUGGUGGAGUGGAGGUAUGGUGGGAUGGUGGAGUGGAGGUAUGGUGGGAUGGUGGAGUGGAGGUAUGGUGGGAUGGUGGAGUGGAGGUAUGGUGGGAUGGUGGAGUGGAGGUAUGGUGGGAUGGUGGAGUGGAGGUAUGGUGGGAUGGUGGAGUGGAGGUAUGGUGGGAUGGUGGAGUGGAGGUAUGGUGGGAUGGUGGAGUGGAGGUAUGGUGGGAUGGUGGAGUGGAGGUAUGGUGGGAUGGUGGAGUGGAGGUAUGGUGGGAUGGUGGAGUGGAGGUAUGGUGGGAUGGUGGAGUGGAGGUAUGGUGGGAUGGUGGAGUGGAGGUAUGGUGGGAUGGUGGAGUGGAGGUAUGGUGGGAUGGUGGAGUGGAGGUAUGGUGGGAUGGUGGAGUGGAGGUAUGGUGGGAUGGUGGAGUGGAGGUAUGGUGGGAUGGUGGAGUGGAGGUAUGGUGGGAUGGUGGAGUGGAGGUAUGGUGGGAUGGUGGAGUGGAGGUAUGGUGGG
Molecule: long non-coding RNA, 505 nt
Organism: Oncorhynchus keta (chum salmon)
Lineage: Eukaryota; Metazoa; Chordata; Actinopteri; Salmoniformes; Salmonidae
Exons: 3
Source: RefSeq, a predicted model, not a curated record